This 253-nucleotide ribosomal RNA is filed under the name uncultured bacterium. Its description in RNAcentral is "partial 16S ribosomal RNA". It matches the Rfam family "Bacterial small subunit ribosomal RNA", at positions 524 to 776 of the family's 1533-position model. The record is from RNAcentral.
UACGUAGGGGGCAAGCGUUGUCCGGAUUUAUUGGGCGUAAAGAGCGUGUAGGCGGCUAGGUAGGUCCGUUGUGAAAACUCGAGGCUCAACCUCGAGACGCCGGUGGAAACCAUCUAGCUAGAGUCCGGAAGAGGAGAGUGGAAUUCCUGGUGUAGCGGUGAAAUGCGCAGAUAUCAGGAGGAAUACCCAUAGCGAAGGCAGCUCGCUGGGACGGUACUGACGCUGAGGCGCGAAAGCGUGGGGAGCGAACAGG